GCCCUUGCGCCGAGCCGGAUGGGCCCUUACAUGUGAAGUGUCUCGCAAGGGACUAUGGACAUAAACGCGCUCGUAAUAAGCGGAUCGGACCCGGGGGCGGUACCCGGCGGCUCCACCAAUCAUCCUUCAUUUGGGGAUCAUGGGGCCGAAACAGGAUCGACGAACGUCUAAAGGGGUUAGCUUUGUCUCGGUGAGCCACCACCGUUAUCGGUGCAAAACGUACAGUUGCAAAUGACAACCGUGCUCCGGUCGCAGUCGCAGCGUAAGCUGUCACAAGACCGAAACUUAAGCCCUUGCGCCUAGCAGCGUAAGGCGGGGUUCGCAGGCACCUGGCAACAGAAGCCUGCAUU
RNAcentral lists this transfer-messenger RNA (350 nucleotides) under Paracoccaceae bacterium. RNAcentral's name for it is "Rhodobacteraceae bacterium transfer-messenger RNA". It matches the Rfam family "Alphaproteobacteria transfer-messenger RNA". Rfam says of the family: Bacterial tmRNA, also known as 10Sa RNA or SsrA, is named for its dual tRNA and mRNA-like properties. Its role is to liberate the mRNA from a stalled ribosome. Lineage: Bacteria; Pseudomonadati; Pseudomonadota; Alphaproteobacteria; Rhodobacterales; Paracoccaceae. The record is from RNAcentral.